GCUACUUUUGCCGGCGAGCCGCGAUAUGGGUGAGUAAUGUCUGGGAAACUGCCUGAUGGAGGGCGAUAACUACUGGAAACGGUAGCUAAUACCGCAUAACGUCGCAAGACCAAAGAGGGGGACCUUCGGGCCUCUUGCCAUCAUAUGUGCCCAGAUGGGAUUAGCUAGUAGGUGGGGUAACGGCUCACCUAGGCGACGAUCCCUAGCUGGUCUGAGAGGAUGACCAGCCACACUGGAACUGAGACACGGUCCAGACUCCUACGGGAGGCAGCAGUGGGGAAUAUUGCACAAUGGGCGCAAGCCUGAUGCAGCCAUGCCGCGUGUAUGAAGAAGGCCUUCGGGUUGUAAAGUACUUUCAGCGGGGAGGAAGGCGUUGAGGUUAAUAACCUCAGCGAUUGACGUUACCCGCAGAAGAAGCACCGGCUAACUCCGUGCCAGCAGCCGCGGUAAUACGGAGGGUGCAAGCGCUAAUCGGAAUUACUGGGCGUAAAGCGCACGCAGGCGGUCUGUCAAGUCAGAUGUGAAAUCCCCGGGCUCAACCUGGGAACUGCAUUCGAAACUGGCAGGCUAGAGUCUUGUAGAGGGGGGUAGAAUUCCGGUGUAGCGGUGAAAUGCGUAGAGAUCUGGAGGAAUACCGGUGGCGAAAGGCGGCCCUCUGGA
Molecule: ribosomal RNA, 660 nt
Filed under: Pantoea sp. idli_20
Lineage: Bacteria; Pseudomonadati; Pseudomonadota; Gammaproteobacteria; Enterobacterales; Erwiniaceae
Description: bacterial SSU rRNA
Rfam family: Bacterial small subunit ribosomal RNA
Source: RNAcentral